RNAcentral lists this ribosomal RNA (231 nucleotides) under uncultured bacterium. Its description in RNAcentral is "partial 16S ribosomal RNA". It matches the Rfam family "Bacterial small subunit ribosomal RNA", at positions 99 to 334 of the family's 1533-position model. The record is from RNAcentral.
CGGACGGGUGAGUAAUGUCUGGGAAACUGCCUGAUGGAGGGGGAUAACUACUGGAAACGGUAGCUAAUACCGCAUAACGUCGCAAGACCAAAGAGGGGGACCUUCGGGCCUCUUGCCAUCGGAUGUGCCCAGAUGGGAUUAGCUAGUAGGUGGGGUAAAGGCUCACCUAGGCGACAUCCCUAGCUGGUCUGAGAGGAUGACCAGCCACACUGGAACUGAGACACGGUCCAG